Molecule: ribosomal RNA, 256 nt
Filed under: uncultured archaeon
Lineage: Archaea
Description: partial 16S ribosomal RNA
Rfam family: Bacterial small subunit ribosomal RNA
Source: RNAcentral
UAAUACGGGGGGGGCAAGCGUUGUUCGGAAUUACUGGGCGUAAAGGGCUCGUAGGCGGCCGACUAAGUCAGACGUGAAAUCCCUCGGCUCAACUGAGGAAUGGCGUCUGAUACUGGUAGGCUUGAAUCCGGGAGAGGGAUGUGGAAUUCCAGGUGUAGCGGUGAAAUGCGUAGAUAUCUGGAGGAACACCGGUGGCGAAGGCGGCAUCCUGGACCGGUAUUGACGCUGAGGAGCGAAAGCCAGGGGAGCAAACGGG